AGUGAACGCUGGCGGUAGGCCUAACACAUGCAAGUCGAACGGCAGCACAGUAAGAGCUUGCUCUUACGGGUGGCGAGUGGCGGACGGGUGAGGAAUACAUCGGAAUCUACUUUUUCGUGGGGGAUAACGUAGGGAAACUUACGCUAAUACCGCAUACGACCUACGGGUGAAAGCAGGGGAUCUUCGGACCUUGCGCGAUUGAAUGAGCCGAUGUCGGAUUAGCUAGUUGGCGGGGUAAAGGCCCACCAAGGCGACGAUCCGUAGCUGGUCUGAGAGGAUGAUAAGCCACACUGGAACUGAGACACGGUCCAGACUCCUACGGGAGGCAGCAGUGGGGAAUAUUGGACAAUGGGCGCAAGCCUGAGCCAGCCAUACCGCGUGGGUGAAGAAGGCCUUCGGGUUGUAAAGCCCUUUUGUUGGGAAAGAAAAGCAGCAGGUUAAUACCCCGCUGUUCUGACGGUACCCAAAGAAUAAGCACCGGCUAACUUCGUG
This 492-nucleotide ribosomal RNA is filed under the name uncultured bacterium. RNAcentral's name for it is "partial 16S ribosomal RNA". It matches the Rfam family "Bacterial small subunit ribosomal RNA", at positions 29 to 507 of the family's 1533-position model. The record is from RNAcentral.